AUACGUAGGGAGCGAGCGUUGUCCGGAAUUACUGGGUGUAAAGGGUGCGUAGGCGGGACUGCAAGUCAGAUGUGAAAUGCCGGGGCUCAACCCCGGAGCUGCAUUUGAAACUGUGGUUCUUGAGUGAGGUAGAGGUAAGCGGAAUUCCUAGUGUAGCGGUGAAAUGCGUAGAUAUUAGGAGGAACAUCGGUGGCGAAGGCGGCUUACUGGGCCUUUACUGACGCUGAGGCACGAAAGCGUGGGGAGCAAACAGGAUUAGAUACCCUGGUAGUCCACGCUGUAAGCGAUGAUGACUAGGUGUGGGGGGACUGAACCCUUCCGUGCCGCAGUUAACACAAUAAGUCCUCCACCUGGGGAGUACGGCCGCAAGGUUGAAACUCAAAUGAAUUGACGGGG
This 396-nucleotide ribosomal RNA is filed under the name uncultured bacterium. RNAcentral's name for it is "partial 16S ribosomal RNA". It matches the Rfam family "Bacterial small subunit ribosomal RNA", at positions 523 to 918 of the family's 1533-position model. The record is from RNAcentral.